CAUAGUGUUCUUCUAUUUCUGUGUGUUGAUUUAUCACAUGUUGUGCAUUGCUUAUCAUGAAAUAUGCUAUGAUCAUGGGAGCAAGAGAAUAUAAGCUAUGAGAAAGAUCUCAGGCAGUUUACUCUAUUCUUUUUGUGUUCUGAAAAAAGAGAAUGUGAACUGGAAAAUAUCAGUCACUUGCGAGCCCCCACAUCAGUUCCUCGUUUACUAUUUCUACUCAGGUGUAUCAAUUUCACGAUGUAUCAAUUUCAAACAGAGCUUUGUGCCUUCUAUGCUGACACAAUGCCAAAUAUUUUUUUUCAACAAAAGACAAAAGGACUGUAGACAUGUAGAAUCUGGUAGAAAUAGGUUUCCCACUAAAGUGUUUUUUUUGCCAUGAGAAUUAUUUUCAGAAGUUUUACAGUUAUUGGCUUCUGAAUUUGUACUAAUACAUUAAAGGGAACAAUAAUAAAUAGUUUUUAUGAGAAUCUAUACUUAGCUACAAAAAUUCCAGAUGGCAAAGAGGCAUCAAAUGCCCACUUCCAAGAAGAAUGCUAUUUACAGAGCUGAACUAUAUACAUUUAAAAAAUAAACCAUUGCUACUGUCCUGUAAUCAGGAGACUUGAUAAUAACCUUCAUGUUUAUUCUCUGCUGUUCACCUAUCUCUUUGGGGCUGUUUUCUAACAAUAAGUCUACACCUUUAAUUGCUUUGUCACACAUGCAGUACUGAAUAUUUUGUUUAGUUCUUUUAAUUAAAUGCUUAUAUAUGUGCCUGGAAGAGAAUCAUUGAGUUGCUGCACUUUGAACCAUCUGUUACCUCACAGCACAGGUUAUUACAUAAAAACAAGUUCUAGAAGUUGUGAUGUUCAGAGACCUCAGUGUCGCUCCUAUUCAGCUUGUUCAAGUUGCAUCAUUAGCUGUACAAAAUCCCAGAUUGGCCUGUAUUUUAAACUGGAACUGGGGGUGGUAUAUAGUUGACAAAACUGCCUGAGAAAUUCGAGCUGUUCACAUCAGCUGCGUUAUCUGCCCAUAAAGGAGGCCAAUCAUAUUGUUAUUGCUAAAAGGAUUAGUAACCUUUUUUGUUUUGUUUUGUUUUGACCACAUUACCUGUAGCACAUCUGGGAAUAUUUUGCAUGAAAACAAUUGAUGCCCAUCCCAAGACCAGGAAUUAAUGUUGAUUUAAGAAAUCGUAUAAUGAAGUAUAGCAAAUACCAGUGUACGCAGUAUAAUCUGAAGAAGUCAACAACUCCUAUGUGCCAUGGGCCCCCAAAACACUUGAGUCAAAGAUCCAUAUUGGUUAUCACCAUUCAACAGCAUGGCUCAGUACCAAUGAUUUUACACGUGGACAUUCCAAACAAAGGACCACCUAAUCAUAGUGGAAACCUUCAAAAAUGGCUCAAAGUCACUCUGCUUUCCAUCCCAAGUCUCUCUGGAAAUCGUUGCACUCAAUUCCUGUGGUUUGUAACCAAGAUUGUCAUCCACUUUUAUUUUCUUCAUUUGAAACUGAAGGACUUCUUAAAUAGUAAGGUUAGUCAUUUUGGCAUUUUCAUGACUCAUCAUUUAGGCUGAAAUGAUAUACAGACCACAAAGGAUUCCUCGAAUCCUAUCAUUUCAGGAGACUGGUAUUAUAAGACAUGUCAUUUCUCACCAUCACAAUGCUACUCCAUAUUCAAAUACCUAGCUUGUUCCCUCACUAACAAUGAACUAUCUCGGGAGUAACUUUCUUUCCAUCCAGAUUUAGCAGAUACUUACAAGACAAACAAGAAGGUAUUUUGCCCACUGAAUUAGUCUGCAUCUGCUCUUUGCUGCCCUUUUCCCCUAUGCAUUAGUUUUCAGGAGAAAUCGCAGAAGUGAAGUGGUUCGUGUUCCAGUUCCUAACAACAGGAUCAAAAAGUCUAUGUCAUAUUGGGUGUCAAGUGUGUUUGUGUUUGCCAGCAACACCUGCGAAAACCUGACUUCCAGGGUGACUUGACAUCAAAAGACUUGUUAGAAACACAUUCUUUAGUGCCUCAGGUAUUGAUUUUUGACAAUGUCUCUUGAAGUUUUAACAGAGCCACAAGUUGAACUAAUCUAUAUUUUUCUGUGGUCCCUGAAGUCACUUGUAUAAGAAUAAUACAAAAAAUAUGGCCUUAUCAAUAACAAAAAGCAUGCCAAUCUUUGUCAGUUGUUAACCAAAGGACAAAAGCUGUUGGGUACGCUUGGGGAUAGCUGAGGGCUAUAGCCUAAUAUUUCCCUAAAUGAUUAUCAUUUACUCUUGAGGUCUUGGGGCAAUAAUUUAGGGCAAAGUUAUAUUCACCAUAUUGUAGCAAACAGAAUUGUGUUAUUCAUUGUUUUCUUAUUAACUGCUCUUUACUUCAAUAGAGCUGUCAGACACAAAAGACGCAAAUGGUAUUGAAGCAAAAGAAGCAAAUAGUGCACAGGGUUGGAAUCAGACAGGCCAGCAUUGGAAUCUCAGCUCCUCCUUUCACUAGCUGUGUGGCCUUCAGCUAGUUAUUUUAACUCCUUAAGCUGCAAUUUCAUCUGUCAAAAGGAAAGGAUAGUAAUCUGUGGUUUAGGAAGUUAUGUAAAGAUUACAUGAAAACAUAUGAAGCACUUAAGUCACCGAUGGGCACAUAGUAAAUGCUCAAUAAGCAAUAGAGAGCGUGGUAAUAGCUAAUUCAUAGUCACUCAUUCAGCAAACUUUGACUGAUGUCGAUUAUACAAGGCACUAUUCUAAAAUCUAGUUUUCUUUUUCUGGAUGAGCAAUGUACCCCUACAGUCCUCCAGGAAGGUGUAAUUUGAUGGGAGACAAAGAAACAUAGUGAAGGAUAAAAUUUUAAGAUAUGUAUGUAUACAAACUUAUGCAAAAACACAGGUGAAGAGCAACUAAUUACACUUAGAUGAGUCAUCACAGACCUCCAUGUAGAGGUAACAUAUAGGCUCGAUGUUGAAGAAUAAGUGGAAGUUUUCCAGGCAGAGGAAGAGGAAAGGAGGUUUUUACAUAGAAGAGAGAACACAAAGACAAAGAUGAGAAAGUACAUAUUUGCUUUAAUAGUAUCAGGUAGUUCCCUAUUUUCAGGGUACCCAGUGCCUCACAGGGAUUAGUAGAAGUAAAGAAGGAUAGAAGGAUGGUGGUUAAACCACUUAGGAUUUUAUAUGCAUUAUAAGUAUUUUGAACGUUGUUCUUUAAGAGAUAAAAAGCUAUUAAAUUUUUUAUUAAGGAAACGACAUGACCAAAGUUAUGUUUUAAAAAGACACAGUGGAUGAUAUCCAACUUGAAAGGAAUGAGUCAGGGAAGGGCAAUCAGAUGAACAAACUAGUCAUUCUGACUUAGGCUAUGGUUCUUGAAAGCUAGGAACGAUGUCAUCUCAAUAAUGCUGAGUAAGUUGACAAUAUAAAUAUAAAGAUUGGAGCUUUAAAACAAAUGGAGCCUACUUAAAACCAUUUUAUUUCAUUGGCAGUAAUUACCCAAGUACUCAUGUUUUUAUUUGUUCUCCUCUUUGUGUCAUUACAGGUCACCUUGAAUCCUUCCUGGAAAAAAGCAGGUCAUAAAUAAUAAUGGUUGUUGGAGAAAGGUCUCUAGGAAAGAUGAAGAACUUUUAAAUUCCUAGAAGCAUCUUAGAAAAGAUAAUACAAAAAAUAUUUAUUUAACGUAAAAAUAAGAGCUGAGAGUCAGUUACAUAGCCAUUGGUAACAGUUGAAAUUUUCUGGAUGGUACCAACCUGCAUUUAUUGUUACUUUCCUUUACUUUUUAAUUUAAUUUAAUUUUAGCGCAAGAAGAUACAUGUUCAUAUUUGUUAGGUGGGUAUAUUGUGUGAUGUUACAUUCCUUUAAAUCUUGUAUAAAUAAUCUUUCUUAAAACUACUUUGUAAAUAUAGGUAAUGUAGACUUAAUGCACAUGUAUAUUUUUAUUUAGAUGGAAUUUACUUUUUAUUGAGAAAUUCAGAACAAAUUUCAGUUCAUUUGUUCAACCACAUCUGUUUUCCAUAUUGGAAAAGCUUAAUUGCCUGGUUUGCAUUCUAUGAGGCCUCAUUUGUGAACCUUAUGGUAUCUACCCAAAUUGGAGGCACUGUGCCUGAGAAAAAACUGCUAGUCCCUUGGGUAAACACCCUGACAAUUCAACACUAUUAAGUGAUGGCAAAUCUGUCAAGAUGCUUUGCCAUUCUGACCGCUUGGCAAGGAAAUGUGGUCUAUGUUUAAAAUAUAAUUUUUGAAGGUGUUGCUUCUAUUGAAUUCUCCCCUGUAUUGCAGUUCACUUUAUUGGAAUGUGAAGCCAAAGUGUUGGCAAGAAUCAAAACUUUGUUACUAAUAACAAAGAGAUUUCCACAAUAUACCAGGUGGUGUUGUCAAAAAUAGUCACACUACAGUUUUAGUGUUCAAAGUCCCACUGAUAAACCUCCUGGAGUAUCGUUUGUUUGGAGUUUAACUGCAGGUGUUUUUGGAACACUAUUCUUAAAUUCCCAAAGUCCGCUAAUUAGAAAGGUAAUCUGUGAAUUUUCAACUGAAUUUUCCAUAGAUCAGUAGAAGUACUUAUACUACAUGAGAUCCAUGGACCUGCCUUAUUAUAAACUGCCAACAGUUGCUCUUUCCAUAUUGAAAUACUGAAAUUGUACAUAUCAAUCCACAAAAAAGGCACAUAUUUAACGGUAAUUUGGAAGGAGAACUUUGCGUCAUUAAGGCAAAAUAUCAUAGGUUUAACCAGAAGUGUCAGGAGUCCUAUUUCAAAAGUUUACCUAUUAAUCUAUAAUCAUAGCAUAAAACACCGCUGCUAUCUUAGGAAUGUCUGAAUGUCUGUAUUCUUUGCUUUUCAUUGCAUGACCUCCAUCAUAGACACCUGACCUGCAGUGUAAGCCUGGUUCAGAGCAUGGACCAUCUAUUGCCUUGUGAACAGUGGUCCUGAUGUUCAAGCAAAGACAAUUUCCAGUACAUAUGUAGGAAGUCAAAAGCAGUUAAAAAUGGAUGGCAAUGCUACAGGCUGCACACUGUCACCACGGUUACCACACACCAGGUGUAUGACCAGAAUCAGUCACAGGAGCAGGAGCAUAUAAAAUGAAAACACCCAAGAACCCCGAGUAACUAUGAUGAAGAGAGGGACAUUGCCAGUUGGCAUGUUGGAGCUGAGAAACGGAUGGUGAUGAAGCCAAAAGGAGAAGGGCCCACUUCACUAUUUGACCUUGGACCAAAAAAACUAAGUAAGGUAAAUUAAAAAAUAAAAAUCACAUCUCCUAUUCAUCUCCUAUUUUCUUUAUCUUCUGAAUUUAGAGGAAAAUGAUUUUUAUGAGGUAGGCAAACAGAUUAUGCUAAACUUUGGUGAUUGCUGGUAAUUUACUUCCCAUCAAUAGUAUUCACUUGGUUGAGUGACUCAAUAUAGAAUAUAUUGAAGAUUUAUUUGCUUCCCUUCAAAGUCAAUCUUUAUUUUCCUAAGCAUCAAAGUGCACAGGAUUUUCAUGGUAUGUGUGUGUCUGUGUGUGCAUGUGCACAUGUGUGUGUUGCCAUUUCAGCUGCUUCAGCAUCCUCAAGUUCCUUACCCUCAUUACAAAGCCUCUGAAUUAGAGCCUCCCCAAAUUCCCUGGGAUCCAGCUUUGUCCUUUACCUCUUCAAAGCUGCAAAAUCUAAUAGAAGUUUCGGGUUUGUCACAUAAACAGAAUGUAGAAACUGGGUUUGUCAAAAGCUUUCUCUCUAGCUCUGGACAAAAUGGUGAAGGGGUAGAAAUGGAGGAAUACCAUUUUUAGGAGGAUAUUUUUACUGACUAGCAAUAUGACCCAUCGAAUGGCUAUUAUUAAUAAUUUCCUAGAUGUAUGAAGUGCCUUUUUAAUAUAAUUUCAGAGUAUUCUGCAUAGUGAAUUAACUCUUCUAUUUCCUGGUGAGAAAGAACUAUAUCAUCUAUUGCUAAGUAGAGAGUGAGAGAGGGACUGAGAGAGAGAGAAAGAGUAAAGCAAAUUGCUCAAGAUGGUAGUUGGUAGUAAUAAAUAUAGAAUUGGGAUUUAGGAAGACUUUACCAUUAAAAGACUUGCUCAAACAAGUCUACAAAACAGAACACAUGUCACACACAUCUUUACCAAAAUA
Cercocebus atys (sooty mangabey) is the source of this 6024-nucleotide long non-coding RNA. RefSeq lists it as uncharacterized. The record is from RefSeq and is a predicted model, not a curated record. Lineage: Eukaryota; Metazoa; Chordata; Mammalia; Primates; Cercopithecidae. The transcript has 3 exons.